UUGCAGCCAGUUAAGCCAACUGUGCUCUUUUCCCCAUGAGGGCCCAGUGUGCAGUAGCUGCAGACAGCUACUGGAAUAUUUAAUUCCUAUAUUUCAAUCUUGGAGAGUUAGAUAAAAUAUUUAUCAUAUGCCUGCCUCAUAGCUUAGUCCUUGGUAGUGUAUGCAGCCUGUUGCCUGUACAGGUAGCCAUAAGGGACCUUGGAGACAACU
Small nucleolar RNA from Bos grunniens (domestic yak), 210 nucleotides. Its record names the gene SNORA70. It matches the Rfam family "Small nucleolar RNA SNORA70". Rfam says of the family: snoRNA U70 seems to be exclusive to mammals and is a member of the H/ACA class of snoRNA which contain H (ANANNA) and ACA box motifs. H/ACA box snoRNAs are involved in the conversion of uridines to pseudouridines (5-ribosyluracil) a constituent of structural RNAs (transfer, ribosomal, small nuclear, and small nucleolar). The record is from Ensembl. NCBI's taxonomy places the organism in Eukaryota, Metazoa, Chordata, Mammalia, Artiodactyla, Bovidae.